RNAcentral lists this ribosomal RNA (226 nucleotides) under uncultured bacterium. RNAcentral describes it as "partial 16S ribosomal RNA". It matches the Rfam family "Bacterial small subunit ribosomal RNA", at positions 123 to 334 of the family's 1533-position model. The record is from RNAcentral.
AAUCUGCCCUUUGGCGGGGACAACAGCUCGAAAGGGUUGCUAAUACCGCAUACGUCUUUAUCGGCCCCGGUCGGUAGAGGGAAAGAUGGCCUCUUCUUGAAAGCUAUCACCAGAGGAUGAGUCCGCGUAGCAUCAGCUUGUUGGUGGGGUAAUGGCCUACCAAGGCUAAGACGCUUAGCUGGUCUGAGAGGAUGAUCAGCCACACUGGGACUGAGAUACGGCCCAG